AUUGAACGCUGGCGGCAUGCUUUACACAUGCAAGUCGAACGCGAAAGGGGGCAACCCUGAGUAGAGUGGCGCACGGGUGAGUAAUACAUCGGAACGUGUCCUGUAAUGGGGGAUAACGCAGCGAAAGCUGUGCUAAUACCGCAUACGUCCUACGGGAGAAAGCGGGGGAUCGCAAGACCUCGCGUUAUAGGAGCGGCCGAUGCCGGAUUAGCUAGUUGGUGGGGUAAAGGCCUACCAAGGCAACGAUCCGUAGCUGGUCUGAGAGGAUGAUCAGCCACACUGGGACUGAGACACGGCCCAGACUCCUACGGGAGGCAGCAGUGGGGAAUUUUGGACAAUGGGCGCAAGCCUGAUCCAGCCAUGCCGCGUGAGUGAAGAAGGCCUCGG
This 387-nucleotide ribosomal RNA is filed under the name uncultured bacterium. Its description in RNAcentral is "bacterial SSU rRNA". It matches the Rfam family "Bacterial small subunit ribosomal RNA", at positions 30 to 420 of the family's 1533-position model. The record is from RNAcentral.